ACUCCUACGGGAGGCAGCAGCGAGGAAUCUUCCACAAUGGACGCAAGUCUGAUGGAGCGACACCGCGUGAAGGAUGAAGGUCUAACGACUGUAAACUUCUUUUCUGAGGGAGCAUAAUGAGAGUACCUUAGGAAUAAGGGACGGCUAAAUACGUGCCAGCAGCCGCGGUAAU
This 172-nucleotide ribosomal RNA is filed under the name uncultured bacterium. RNAcentral describes it as "partial 16S ribosomal RNA". It matches the Rfam family "Bacterial small subunit ribosomal RNA", at positions 335 to 524 of the family's 1533-position model. The record is from RNAcentral.